GUCUGUAAGUUUGUUUGUUUACAGUCUGGCCUGCCCACUGAGUUUUAAAGGGCCGCGGUAAUUUGACCGUGCGAAGGUAGCAUAAUCACUAGUUUUUUAAUUGAAGGCUUGUAUGAAUGGUCGGACGAAGAAUUAGCUGUCUUUUUGUUAUUUUGAAUUUAACUUUUAAGUGAAAAGGCUUAAAUUGACUGGAGGGACGAUAAGACCCUAUAAAACUUUAUAUGAUUUUUUUGUGGUAUAAUGAUUAUUGUUUAAAUUUACUUUAAUUCUGUCAUAUUUUGUUGGGGCGAUAUUUAUAUAAUUUGUAACUGUUUUUUUGAUUUAAUAGGUAUAAUUAGGUUUUGAUCCUUUAUUAAAGAUUAAUAGAUUAAGUUACUUUAGGGAUAACAGCGUAAUUUUCUCUGAGAGUUCUUAUCGACGAGAGUAGUUGCGACCUCGAUGUUGAAUUAAAAUUUCAGAUUGGUGUAGCCGCUUUUCUGGUAGGUCUGUUCGACCUUUAAAAUUUU
Molecule: ribosomal RNA, 506 nt
Filed under: Conchodytes tridacnae
Lineage: Eukaryota; Metazoa; Arthropoda; Malacostraca; Decapoda; Palaemonidae
Description: partial large subunit ribosomal RNA
Rfam family: Bacterial large subunit ribosomal RNA
Source: RNAcentral